Molecule: unclassified non-coding RNA, 470 nt
Filed under: Hevea brasiliensis (rubber tree)
Lineage: Eukaryota; Viridiplantae; Streptophyta; Magnoliopsida; Malpighiales; Euphorbiaceae
Source: RNAcentral
ACCCUUGAGGUUGAUAAGAGAUGUUCAAGGUAUCGAGCAUACCAUCUAACCCAUGAAGAUAAUUCCCAAGCUAUGGGCGUGGUGUUAUCUCUAAAGCUUGAAAGUUUGAGGUAGUUUCUGCCGCCUGUGGAAGGAUAAACAGAAAGCUGGUCUUGGAGGAUAAAACUACCAUCCUUGAUGAUGUGAUGCACGAUGGCAAGGCACUUGAUAGCGACGGAGGAGUCAUGGGUAGACUGCAGCCUGUCCAUAAGGGCCUCAAUUGCAGCGGCAGCGGUGGCGCGUGAGCUGUAGCCAUAGGAAAGCAUAGUGGUGAUGUGCUUUGGGUGUGGAGGAGUAAAUGGGUCGUGAGUUGUGGCUCUGAGGAGGGCUAAGUGGAGAGACAAGGUUUUGGGUUUAGAGAUUAUGGCUGCUUUGCUUUGAGAAGCCUUGUCUUUGAUUAUCCCUAUUAUGUCUCUAAGAUUUGUUGGGCG